GUCAGUCGCUUCUCAGAGAGCAGUCGUUCACUUCCGGAAGGAGGGGUUCCUUCCAUCCCCUUUCCAAUGGAGAUGGUAUGCGCCUUGUCCGCCUCUCUGAUCUGAUCGUUUUCGAUUUUUUUUUUAAUCCCGGUAGGGAAUGACGGAGAUGUGUGUGACGAGACAGUUCGAUCACCGGGUCUUUUUAUGUGAGGAUCUGGUUUUCUUCAUCCCUCGUAAGUUCAUUGCCCAGUGUUCCGCAUCACGUUGUCUUGAAUUGAAGCUUGAUUUUCUCUCCUCGUCCGGUAGAUGAACGCCAAAUGGAGCUCUUGCUCCGCCUCGCUGAUCUGAUUGUUUUUCGAUUUUGUUUACGCCGGUUGGGAAAGACGGAGAUGUGUGUGACGAGACAUCUCGAUCACUUGUUCUUUUGAUGUGAGAAUCUGGUUUUCUUCAUCACUCGUAAGUUCAUAGUGUUCAGUGUUAUGAUUCACGUUUUCUUGACUCGAAGUUUGGUCGGUUUCUCUCCUCGUCCGGUAGGGGAGAACACCAAAUGGAGCUCCUGCUCUCAGCGUUGUCUGUUUUUCUUGAUAAUCCUGGCCGACUAUUGGGAAUUCUAUCUGUCUUUUCGAUCCGAUCCGCUUGGGAUUGCUGGUGUCACGAGAACCCAGCGACUGUAAUCGUGUUUCUACGUUUUAGGGUUGACGACGGUUUCUAGUUAAGAAAACGAUAUUCGAGCCUACGCCGUCGACUUUGGGUUUCGGAUUUUAAUUUCGCAUACCUUGUUAGAAUGAACUGUCUUGGAUCUAAGAGGCGACGAACAACGUCAUGAUGAUUAUAAUAAUUUGAAACUUACUUUGAAUCCAAGGUUUAUAAGGAGAUCAGGGGUCAUGUGAUCAGGCGUCCUUUUCUUCUAAAUAUAUUAAAACUAAUUUUAAAAACAAUAUUUUAGUGAAGACGGAUUCCCCUGAAUCAUUACUUAACAGCAAGAUCAGUCAAAUAGGAAUGUGAUAGAAAGUGCAAAAUGAUUUGUUUUUAAAAGCACUUAUCCACAUAAAAUAUUCACUGUGACAUAUAUCCGUUCAUGUCUUGUUGGCAGAUGCCUAUUUUAGGAUCUCCCGUUCCUCAUCUUGAUUCGACUACACAGACGCUCAACUGCGAUUUGAUAUGUUUUGAUUCUCUCUGUAUUCUGUAGAAUAUGAAGAAUUCUUUCUGUCGUGUAUACAAAAAUUCUAAAAAAAUUGCAUACAAAAAAAUUGUUCAAGCAAGAGCGAUGCAAUAGGAAGACGGAGUGUCUCCAUCAUCCACGCUUCCGCCUUGUGGGUAUCUGUCAGGUAUUCACUUUCUGGGUAUAGAAAGAACUAAAGAAUUUCUUGACCCUUUUACCGAUCUAGGUCCUAACGCUGUGAUCUACACUUCCGGCAAGGGCGCCAUCUGCUCGCCGCCGGCCUCCGGUCUGCUCCCAUCCUGUUUCGCUGGACUGGGGUUCUCUGCGGGGUGAGCAAGCACUUCAGAGGAUCGGUGGCGGUGUUGGUGGCUGGCGAUGGCCGCCCAGGAGAGAACCAGAAAUGAAGCAACUGCCGACAGCACCGCCAUGGCGGUCCACGCCAUCCGCGCCCAUCUCUUCAUCGGCCUGCAUUCUCCAUGAAGGAUCUCAGCGAAGGCGUCCUUCACC
RNAcentral lists this long non-coding RNA (1651 nucleotides) under Spirodela polyrhiza (greater duckweed). RNAcentral's name for it is "long non-coding RNA (SPOL_LNC000174)". The record is from RNAcentral. Lineage: Eukaryota; Viridiplantae; Streptophyta; Magnoliopsida; Alismatales; Araceae.